GACAGAGGGUGCAAACGUUGCUCGGAAUCACUGGGCGUAAAGGGCGUGUAGGCGGGCAGGUAAGUCGGGCGUGAAAUCCCUGGGCUCAACCCAGGAACUGCACUCGAAACUACUUGUCUUGAGUGUCGGAGAGGAAAGCGGAAUUCCUGGUGUAGAGGUGAAAUUCGUAGAUAUCAGGAGGAACACCAGUGGCGAAGGCGGCUUUCUGGACGAUAACUGAC
This 221-nucleotide ribosomal RNA is filed under the name uncultured bacterium. RNAcentral describes it as "partial 16S ribosomal RNA". It matches the Rfam family "Bacterial small subunit ribosomal RNA", at positions 524 to 744 of the family's 1533-position model. The record is from RNAcentral.